ACUCCUACGGGAGGCAGCAGUGGGGAAUAUUGCACAAUGGGCGCAAGCCUGAUGCAGCGACGCCGCGUGGGGGAUGAAGGCCUUCGGGUUGUAAACCCCUUUCAGCAGGGAAGAAGCGCAAGUGACGGUACCUGCAGAAGAAGCGCCGGCUAACUACGUGCCAGCAGCCGCGGUAAUACGUAGGGCGCAAGCGUUGUCCGGAAUUAUUGGGCGUAAAGAGCUCGUAGGCGGUUUGUCGCGUCUGCUGUGAAAAUCCCGAGGCUCAACCUCGGGCCUGCAGUGGGUACGGGCAGACUAGAGUGUGGUAGGGGAGACUGGAAUUCCUGGUGUAGCGGUGGAAUGCGCAGAUAUCAGGAGGAACACCGAUGGCGAAGGCAGGUCUCUGGGCCACAACUGACGCUGAGGAGCGAAAGCGUGGGGAGCGAACAGGAUUAGAUACCCUGGUAGGCUCUGC
Molecule: ribosomal RNA, 454 nt
Filed under: uncultured bacterium
Lineage: Bacteria
Description: bacterial SSU rRNA
Rfam family: Bacterial small subunit ribosomal RNA
Source: RNAcentral